GCCCCCGUAGCUCAGUGGAUAGAGCACGAGAUUACGGAUCUCGGUGUCGCGCGUUCGAUUCGCGCCGGGGGCUC
This 74-nucleotide transfer RNA is filed under the name Micromonospora parathelypteridis. Its description in RNAcentral is "tRNA-Arg". It matches the Rfam family "tRNA". From Rfam's summary of the family: Transfer RNA (tRNA) molecules are approximately 80 nucleotides in length. Lineage: Bacteria; Bacillati; Actinomycetota; Actinomycetes; Micromonosporales; Micromonosporaceae. The record is from RNAcentral.